GUUCCCAUUGAUUUGCUGCUCUCGCCUCCCCAGUGGCACGAGCAGUUAUACGCGUGGGAUAGAGCAACGCCGGGCCGCUGUGGACGGGGGUGGGUGGCCGUGCCACCCUUCUUCCACGUGUGUGUGGCCCGGACACGG
Small nucleolar RNA from Phyllostomus discolor (pale spear-nosed bat), 138 nucleotides. RefSeq annotates it as small nucleolar RNA SNORA20. NCBI's taxonomy places the organism in Eukaryota, Metazoa, Chordata, Mammalia, Chiroptera, Phyllostomidae. The record is from RefSeq and is a predicted model, not a curated record. The transcript has a single exon.